ACAGACUGUUGCAGGAGAGUGGAAGAGGGUCAUUUAAACCAGAGUCAGGGUGACUGGAAGUCUUCCGAGAGGACUGACAAAGGCUGAAGAUAGAUAAGAAUGGCACAAUUAGGCGGGAAACUCCACACAUCUAUUUGGUUGGCCCCGUCUCCUUGGGGCUUAGCAGAAGAUCUGAUUGGGCACAACAGGAAGUCAGAUACUCGUUGCAGGAUUGUAGGAAGGGGCUGCUUGUGUAAGGGCCCUGCAGAGUAGCAAGCUCGCCCUUCACAGGACCACUGUGAGACACAAUCCUUUAACCCUAUGCAAAUACGUAGGGCAGCGGCAGACUCUUGGAAGGAAGAUCUUAAGGGCAGUUGGUGCCAUGAAUUAAAAGCUCCUAGGUGGCUGCCUCUAUGUUUAGCGUCUGCAUGACAUCAUCAGUUGGAACUAAUGAAAGAGGAAAACCAAGGAAGAAAAUGCCACGGUGAUCACCAAAGCUUCCUUCAUGAGUGGGAUCUGGGCUCCCACCGGGGCUCCCCAGGGAUGCCCACGGCUCUAUGGAGGGGGCAGCAAUCCUGAGGGACUUCCUCCUUGUCAAAAUAUGACAGAAGCCAUCCUGCAAAUGAACACUGUCCUGAAAGCAUCGGGAGAAAUAACGUACAGGCCACAGGGAUCUCCCUAAUGUUGAUUCUGGUCAUUGUGAAGUGAAGUCAGUGGUGCUAGUCACGAAAUAUCACUCCAGGCUUGGUGGGUGAACCUUGCUUUGGUUCUGCAAUAUCUACAGCAUCAACUGUGUUUCCAGGUCUAUAUUCUCUUCAAUCAGGGGCUGUUGGAGACAGAGCAUGGCGUGUGCUAUUUUUUGUUCGAUCAAGAUCAUGUCAAAGAAAACCCAGGCACUUCUGCUAAGACAUCUGGAAAGAAGUUGGCCCAGCAUGGUCAGGGCGGCGGCCCUGGUGUCAUCCACUCUAUACUAUGUCAGCAAGAGCACCCCCGCCACCCCAGCCUCUGGAAGUGAGUGGGAUGCUGAUAGCAGAAGGAAAAGAAUCGGGACAAAAGGCAUCGAGGAGAUCUAGAGUGCCAGGCCCACCUCAGGUAUUGCCUAUCUCUCCCUUCUCCAGAGACAGUCAGCAGGGUGGAACCGGAUUCCUGGUCAUGCAAGAACACCUUCAGGGAGGGCUGCUUCAAGGUAACACUCCAACACAGGCUGGGUCCCACAUCACUUCAUGGUGCAAAAAUCAUGGUGCACUAGUCAAGACCUGGAGUUCGAUAAAAUAGGAAUUAGGACAUAAAUAAACUAGUUUUUUUGUUUGUUUGUUUGUUUGUUUUUUUGUCUUUUUGCCUUUUCUAGGGCAGCUCCCUCGGCAUAUGGAGGUUCCCAGGCUAGGGGUCUAAUCGGAGCUGUAGCCACCGGCCUACACCACAGCCACAGCAACAUGGGAUCUGAGCCUUGUCUGUGACUUACACCACAGCUCAUGGCAAUGCCAGAUCCUUAAGCCACUGAGCAAGGUCAGGAAUCGAAUCCACAACAUCCUGGUUCCUGGUUGGAUUUGCUAACCACUGCGCCACGACGGGAACUCCUAAACUAGUUGUUUUGAGUUGAGUGAGUUCAUCUGCCCAUUGACAGGUGGUGCUUUUCCAACUGAAGACAAAAGUUUGACUCAGAACUUGCAAGAAGCAGCCAUUCCCUCCUUGGGGGUAUUGCAGUGAAGGGGAGAAGAAAGUGCCUUCCAGCCUGACCUUGGGUUUGGAAGAACCGUGCUUUGAAUUACUGCCAAUGUGGCCAGGUUCCUUUCUUGGAUCUUUGAUUUAUUACCUCAAAAUAGUGAGAAUUAUUUCAUAGGGGUGUUUAGACGAUUAAGUAAGCUGGUACAAGUAAAGCAUUCGGUGUGUUGUUUGUCGGCGCUUACAAGGGGCUUGGUCACUAUGAAUUUAAAGAAAUAACAACAAAGACUACUGACCUAAAGAUAUUUCAGUUAAUGAAGUUGCUUUGCUUCUUUGAUUCUGACGAAAGGGAAUUUAAACUCUUACAUUUAAAAAGUCAUGAAUUAGCAUGUACAUUUUAAACUCGAUUUUAAAAUCCAGUGAGCUAUUAUUGUUAUCACCAUGCAUGAUAACUUCAUCGAUUGUCUUCUGCCUCAGGCUUCCCUGCGCAGCUGGGUAGGUGCUGUUUGUAAGUGAGUCAGUUUCGCAGAUAGACUGUGACAUGUACAGGUGGCAUUUAAUAAGAGUAUAGCACGUAUCCUUUGUCUUCCCCCCUUGGUUACAUCAUUGGACUGUUUAGAGCAAAGAGAGCAAAAACUAUUAUCCUGAUUUACCAAUCAGGUCUUACCUGGAGAAGAGGCGACUCUGCUUUUUUAUGCUCAUCGGCGUAGGUUUGGGAGGGGGGCACAUUGUAGGUGCUGAUAAACCACAUUUGCAGUUAUUUACCAUUUUGCAUCUCUCCCUCUGUGAAUGCUUCCCUUACGCCAGACCAGUGUAGCGCCCGCCACAGCGACGGCACUGAUGCCAGGCGCGUGUCUGCUUCUCCAGCAGCGUGGGAGACGCACUUCACCUGGGGGCUCCACCCUUCCCAGGUUACAGUUGCUGCGCAGAAGAACAGUUGCCUCUGCUGAUAGGGACUGUCUCAUUGCACCCCUUUUCCAGGCCAUCUGUCUGACCUGGACCCAUUCCAAACACUACGGCUUUGUUGGCAGAAUGGUCUUCCUGCUACAGAAGUUUUGUAAUCUGCUAAUUGACAGGGUAAGGAAAAUUUAUAUUUGGGUUACAGCUGAAAAGUUGGAUGUUUCUUUGAUGGGGCUUUAAAUACUGACAUAUGCUGCGCUGGUUUUUGAUUUUAGGCAUCCUCCUUUGUGCGCGAGCACACGCUCUUUUUCCCUGUGUUCUCUGCCUCAUUGAGGACACGGCAUCCUUUCGAGAAGAACAGCAAUACGAUCUACUGGGGAAUUAUCCUCUACUUAGUUUACUCAUUAAGCAAUGAUUUUAUUAUUAUUAUCUCUUUGUAGUAUGAGACAGAUGGCAAAGAAAGAGUUUGCUUUAUUGAACAAGAUGCAUGGCAAAUCUCCAUGAAUGGUUAAUAUCUUCAGUAGUCAUUCUGUCUAAUAAGCAUCUUGGCUUUUGCACAGGGCCUGGUUCUACACUCAGCCCUUAGUUUAGGUUAAAUGUUCUCAACCCUCUCUCUGUACACAUGGCUGGGGGCAGAAGAAUCUUAGAGAAGGAAAUAGCAUUAAAAUUGUGCUGUUCUAGGGAGUUCCCUUGUGGUGGAACUGGAUCCUUAACCAGUGACCACACUGGUUAAGGAUCCAGUGUGGUCACUGCAGUGGCUCAGGUCGCUGCUGUGGCGUGGGUUUGAUCCCCGGCCCUGGCUGCCAGCAAGGCCAAAACAGAAAUCAUGCCAUUGAUAUGUAUGGUUGUCCUCAUCUUGUGCAGUAACACUCAGUGAUCAAGCCCCGGCCAGACCCAUGUCCCUAAAGCACGUGCUCGUGUUGGGGGCCGUGCACGAGUGUGGAGCAAUAGCCUGCCUCUGGAGCCAAGCAGCCCCCUCAACCUGCAUCAUUACAGCACCCGUCACAAAGAAAGAUGAGAAUGAAAGAAGAUUUCUUCCCUACCUUUGAAAACUUCAAAGAAAUUGUUCCCAAUCUGGUUCUGAUGAUCCAUGUCUCAGGCCAAGCGCACGCAAAGGUUGGAAAUCUGCACACUGAUCGGAAAUAGUUUUGGGAAAGUCGGAUUUAAUCCCACGAGCCCAAUGAUCACUACCAAGAACGAUCAGGGAAAACCAAAGUCCACAGCAAAUUUUAAUUUGCCAACUGCAUAAAAUGUUCAAAAGAGCAGAGGUCUCAUUUACAUUCCUCCCUCUUAUAUGGGAUUUUCUUCCAUAUUAGUAAUUAAAGGGUGCAGGCUAUAGAGCGCAACCAUAUCCCAUAAUAGCCAUCGGGGACACACUAACAACUUCCUUGAAGUAACGCACACUAGGGUGUUUAUGGUUCAGUGUCACAUAGGCUCUCUUUGAUCUAAAUUAGGAUUCAUUGGCAAACUCACAAUAGGCUCCACAUGUACCCCUCUCAACCUCUUUCUUUUAAUCAUGGAAAUUAGAGAUGGAAAAUACCCAUUAAGUCACUUAGUCCACUUCCCUGCCAGGGUAAAAUUGUUGCCUGUGAUACAAGGGGAGGGCUCGGUCCAGCUUACAUUUAAAUGUCUCAGGGGAUAGGCGGCCUCCAGAUUUUAUAAUUUUCCUCUUCCCCUUAAAAUUUGGGGUGUGGGGGGGAAUGCAAAGCAGAGGAAGAGAUUUCUUCCCCGCCUUAGGGGUUGGAGGUAAUGGGUGGUGGGUUGUGAAUGUGCUCACGUGGUGUCAGCUUUCCCGAAACCACGCCCCUUGCGACAGGGGUUCAACCCCUGUCGUCCCCCAGCAGGUUUUCCUCUUCAGCUCAAUGGAGCUUUUCACGGACUUUGCCUGUCCCCUCAAGUGAGCGAGCACCCAGGUCUGAUGAGGGAGCACGAGGCCCAGCAAAGGAGAAGCUUCGUCUGCUUUAGCUCCCGGGUUGGUUGAUGACUUCUUAACUGCACAGGCCCUCCCAGCUUAGCGUGCGAUGCGCCCUAUGAGGUGUGAGCACAGGGGUGGCGGCACUGCCAUCUUAUUCCAGGCGUUUUUCUUGUUGGAACAUUUGGCUUCUGAAAGAGGAGAGAUGCCUGCCGUCGCACGGUGAACCCUCUCCCUGACUGAUGUUCAGCUGCAAAAGCAAGACUCGGCGUCUGCCCGCAUCUUCCGCAUCACCGGAUCGCCAGGAAAGUGGGGAAAGUAGCGACCCCCACCCCCACCGCGGGCCAUGUCCCUGUGGGACCCCCUCUACCGGAGACGGCCCGGCAGUGGCUGAGAUGAGACCUAAAAAGGGAAAUGGUGACCCAGGAUGAGAGUCACGUUUUGGUCUGUUUCAGGGGCUCUCUUUCUGAUGGAGCUGCCAGACUGACCCUAGGGAACCCGCCUCUUUUACAUGAAAGACUAAAGCCUAGUGGAUUAAAGGCAGAGUUUUUUUCAGGAUUUCUGUCAGCAAACCUAAUCCUGGUUAGGGAGCUAUUUCACAUCUCAUGAACGUCGGAAAUAGUUCGGUUUCAGAGUUCACAUUGUGGCACGGUGGAAACGAAUCUGACUAGGAACCACGAGGUUGCGGGUCAAUCCCUGGCCUCGCUCAGUGGGUUAAGGAUCCGUCGAUGACGUGAGCUGUGGUGUAGGUCACAGACACGGCUCGGAUCCUGCGUUGCUGUGGCUGUGGUGUAGGCUGGCGGCUACAGCUCCGAUUCGACCCCUAGGCUGGGAACCUCCACAUGCUCCGGUGGGGCCCUAGAAAAGACAAAAAGAAAAGGAUUCCAUUUCUGCUGGUAAUCAGUGCCAGGCCACACUUAUUCCUCUGAACAUGGCCUUGAACUGUUUGGCAACAUGGGUAUGUGGAAUAACCCCAAACAUACAAAUUCUCAAAUAUAUGAUCAGCUAAAAUAACAGUAAAGGCAUUGAGGAAAGCGUUCUCAUUCAGUUUCUCUUAUGUAUUCUGUUCACAACGUGUAGGCGUGUUCAGACGCUCUCAGUCCACAGAGGAUAUAAUGAGAACACAGGCCAAAAUGAUGGUUGGUAUAAAUAAAAAUGGAGGGGGGAGUUCCCACUGUGGCUCAGAGGAAAUGAAUCCAACUAGGAACCAUGAGGUUGCAGGUUCAAUCCCUGGCCUCACUCAGCGGGUUAAGGAUCUGGCGUUGCCGUGAGCUGUGGUGUAGUCUGCAGAUGUGGCUCGGACCCUGAGUUGCUGUGGCUGUGGUGUAGGCUGGUGACUGUAGCUCCCAUUUGACCCCUGGCCUGGGAACCUCCAUGUGCUGUGGGUGC
This 5842-nucleotide long non-coding RNA is filed under the name Sus scrofa (pig). Its description in RNAcentral is "lncRNA (ENSSSCG00005028256.1)". Lineage: Eukaryota; Metazoa; Chordata; Mammalia; Artiodactyla; Suidae. The record is from RNAcentral.